This 3028-nucleotide ribosomal RNA is filed under the name Salmonella enterica subsp. enterica. RNAcentral's name for it is "bacterial LSU rRNA". It matches the Rfam family "Bacterial large subunit ribosomal RNA". RNAcentral also lists the same sequence under 1 other name. Lineage: Bacteria; Pseudomonadati; Pseudomonadota; Gammaproteobacteria; Enterobacterales; Enterobacteriaceae. The record is from RNAcentral.
GGGUUGUGAGGUUAAGCGACUAAGCGUACACGGUGGAUGCCCUGGCAGUCAGAGGCGAUGAAGGGCGUGCUAAUCUGCGAUAAGCGCCGGUAAGGUGAUAUGAACCGUUAUAACCGGCGAUACCCGAAUGGGGAAACCCAGUGUGACUCGUCACACUAUCAUUAACUGAAUCCAUAGGUUAAUGAGGCGAACCGGGGGAACUGAAACAUCUAAGUACCCCGAGGAAAAGAAAUCAACCGAGAUUCCCCCAGUAGCGGCGAGCGAACGGGGAGGAGCCCAGAGCCUGAAUCAGCAUGUGUGUUAGUGGAAGCGUCUGGAAAGGCGCGCGAUACAGGGUGACAGCCCCGUACACAAAAGCGCAUGUGCUGUGAGCUCGAUGAGUAGGGCGGGACACGUGGUAUCCUGUCUGAAUAUGGGGGGACCAUCCUCCAAGGCUAAAUACUCCUGACUGACCGAUAGUGAACCAGUACCGUGAGGGAAAGGCGAAAAGAACCCCGGCGAGGGGAGUGAAAAAGAACCUGAAACCGUGUACGUACAAGCAGUGGGAGCCCCACCACUAAGCCAGUGGUGAACUCCACAUACGCAUCCUUUGCUGAGGAUACGGUUAACGGAGCGAAAGCGACGUUCAACCGCAAAAGAAGCAGAGGGGGCUUAGUGGUGGGGUGACUGCGUACCUUUUGUAUAAUGGGUCAGCGACUUAUAUUCUGUAGCAAGGUUAACCGAAUAGGGGAGCCGGAGGGAAACCGAGUCUUAAUUGGGCGUUAAGUUGCAGGGUAUAGACCCGAAACCCGGUGAUCUAGCCAUGGGCAGGUUGAAGGUUGGGUAACACUAACUGGAGGACCGAACCGACUAAUGUUGAAAAAUUAGCGGAUGACCUGUGGCUGGGGGUGAAAGGCCAAUCAAACCGGGAGAUAGCUGGUUCUCCCCGAAAGCUAUUUAGGUAGCGCCUCGUGAAUUCAUCUCCGGGGGUAGAGCACUGUUUCGGCUAGGGGGCCAUCCCGGCUUACCAACCCGAUGCAAACUGCGAAUACCGGAGAAUGUUAUCACGGGAGACACACGGCGGGUGCUAACGUCCGUCGUGAAGAGGGAAACAACCCAGACCGCCAGCUAAGGUCCCAAAGUCAUGGUUAAGUGGGAAACGAUGUGGGAAGGCCCAGACAGCCAGGAUGUUGGCUUAGAAGCAGCCAUCAUUUAAAGAAAGCGUAAUAGCUCACUGGUCGAGUCGGCCUGCGCGGAAGAUGUAACGGGGCUAAACCAUGCACCGAAGCUGCGGCAGCGACGCUGAUGCGUUGUUGGGUAGGGGAGCGUUCUGUAAGCCUGCGAAGGUGGCCUGUGAGGGUUGCUGGAGGUAUCAGAAGUGCGAAUGCUGACAUAAGUAACGAUAAAGCGGGUGAAAAGCCCGCUCGCCGGAAGACCAAGGGUUCCUGUCCAACGUUAAUCGGGGCAGGGUGAGUCGACCCCUAAGGCGAGGCCGAAAGGCGUAGUCGAUGGGAAACGGGUUAAUAUUCCCGUACUUGGUGUUACUGCGAAGGGGGGACGGAGAAGGCUAUGUUGGCCGGGCGACGGUUGUCCCGGUUUAAGCGUGUAGGUGUGUGUUCCAGGUAAAUCCGGUUCACUUUAACACUGAGGCGUGAUGACGAGGCACUACGGUGCUGAAGCAACAAAUGCCCUGCUUCCAGGAAAAGCCUCUAAGCAUCAGGUAACAUCAAAUCGUACCCCAAACCGACACAGGUGGUCAGGUAGAGAAUACCAAGGCGCUUGAGAGAACUCGGGUGAAGGAACUAGGCAAAAUGGUGCCGUAACUUCGGGAGAAGGCACGCUGACACGUAGGUGAAGUGAUUUACUCAUGGAGCUGAAGUCAGUCGAAGAUACCAGCUGGCUGCAACUGUUUAUUAAAAACACAGCACUGUGCAAACACGAAAGUGGACGUAUACGGUGUGACGCCUGCCCGGUGCCGGAAGGUUAAUUGAUGGGGUCAGCGCAAGCGAAGCUCCUGAUCGAAGCCCCGGUAAACGGCGGCCGUAACUAUAACGGUCCUAAGGUAGCGAAAUUCCUUGUCGGGUAAGUUCCGACCUGCACGAAUGGCGUAAUGAUGGCCAGGCUGUCUCCACCCGAGACUCAGUGAAAUUGAACUCGCUGUGAAGAUGCAGUGUACCCGCGGCAAGACGGAAAGACCCCGUGAACCUUUACUAUAGCUUGACACUGAACAUUGAGCCUUGAUGUGUAGGAUAGGUGGGAGGCUUUGAAGUGUGGACGCCAGUCUGCAUGGAGCCGACCUUGAAAUACCACCCUUUAAUGUUUGAUGUUCUAACGUGGACCCGUGAUCCGGGUUGCGGACAGUGUCUGGUGGGUAGUUUGACUGGGGCGGUCUCCUCCUAAAGAGUAACGGAGGAGCACGAAGGUUGGCUAAUCCUGGUCGGACAUCAGGAGGUUAGUGCAAUGGCAUAAGCCAGCUUGACUGCGAGCGUGACGGCGCGAGCAGGUGCGAAAGCAGGUCAUAGUGAUCCGGUGGUUCUGAAUGGAAGGGCCAUCGCUCAACGGAUAAAAGGUACUCCGGGGAUAACAGGCUGAUACCGCCCAAGAGUUCAUAUCGACGGCGGUGUUUGGCACCUCGAUGUCGGCUCAUCACAUCCUGGGGCUGAAGUAGGUCCCAAGGGUAUGGCUGUUCGCCAUUUAAAGUGGUACGCGAGCUGGGUUUAGAACGUCGUGAGACAGUUCGGUCCCUAUCUGCCGUGGGCGCUGGAGAACUGAGGGGGGCUGCUCCUAGUACGAGAGGACCGGAGUGGACGCAUCACUGGUGUUCGGGUUGUCAUGCCAAUGGCACUGCCCGGUAGCUAAAUGCGGAAGAGAUAAGUGCUGAAAGCAUCUAAGCACGAAACUUGCCCCGAGAUGAGUUCUCCCUGAGACUUUAGGUCUCCUGAAGGAACGUUGAAGACGACGACGUUGAUAGGCCGGGUGUGUAAGCGCAGCGAUGCGUUGAGCUAACCGGUACUAAUGAACCGUGAGGCUUAACCUUACAACGCCGAAG